GGACAUGGCUCAGUGAUACAGCAUCUGUUUUGCAUGCAGAAGGUCCCAGGUUUAAUCCCUGAAAUCUCCA
Molecule: transfer RNA, 70 nt
Filed under: Sphaerodactylus townsendi
Lineage: Eukaryota; Metazoa; Chordata; Lepidosauria; Squamata; Sphaerodactylidae
Description: tRNA-Ala
Rfam family: tRNA
About the family: Transfer RNA (tRNA) molecules are approximately 80 nucleotides in length. Their secondary structure includes four short double-helical elements and three loops (D, anti-codon, and T loops).
Source: RNAcentral